Molecule: long non-coding RNA, 1534 nt
Organism: Culex pipiens pallens (northern house mosquito)
Lineage: Eukaryota; Metazoa; Arthropoda; Insecta; Diptera; Culicidae
Exons: 4
Source: RefSeq, a predicted model, not a curated record
ACUGGGAAACAACUUUGUAGAACAUACCAACAUGCUAGGAAGUGACCCUUUAAUGAUACAGAUACUUUUAGAUGGUGGCUUUUGAAGGGGCUUUACUGUGUGGGGUGAAACGGGCUAGCUGGCGUAAGUUCAAGAUAUCUUUGGUUUUUCAUCGAUGGUGCUUUGACUUUUUCUAGUCAUAUUUACAAAGUUAUUUUUAGAACGUUUAUUUAUAGACAAGCAUGGGCUACGGUUUUGGCCAGCAGUGUUUUGUGAGUUUUCAACGAUAGCAAAAUCUUUUCCUUGGACAAUCUGGCCACCGGUGUUGUUCCAGGUUAUCAAAUGGAUGAUGAGACAGUUCGGACACCGGCACUGUUCCGGGUUGGCGGUUUGCUGUUUGUCAAAUAUGCUUUACAAGAAUUGGUGGACAGUUUCGACAUCGGCAUUGUUCCGGGUUGGUGGUUGGCGGGUUAUCACGUGUGGAACAUCGUUCGAUUGCAUCUCGGACUCUUAAGCAGCUCGUGAACGACGCAACGAUGACUUCCCAGAAGACGACCGCUCACUCCGGAUCGAUAUCACAGCUCUCUGAGCCGGACCGACCAUGAGCGCUCUGUAGAGGUGGACCAGGUGAAGAGCACGAGGCCAUACAGAAAAAAUCAGCACGUCGCAAAUCCCGACAACAUCCAACGAGUACUUCGGGAAGGUCAAUGCGGAGAACAACGAGAACCUCGCCCUGUAUGAAGCGCCGAGAACGACGUUUCUGAACACCGCCAGCUGGAUCGGACGCACGUCGACGUAGGUGAAGGUAUUUAGGAACAAGCUGGCAGACAAUAAUUAAGACCAUGUCUCAGGUGAGCAAGAGCGUUCAGACGCACACGGAGACACACCGGCUAUGCACCCUAGGACGACUCCGAUCUAGAUCGGACGCGCGAGAGUGGAGACGGCAGGAGAGACGAAUCGCACGCCAGAAAUCAACCGUCACCACUGCAAACACGGGUACAAGUGAAGCACGGCCCAUUAUCAAGGUCAAGCAGACAUGGAAACAAGAUGUAUGUUCGCUGAACCACGCGGAGUCUCACCGAUACCAAUAAAUUGCUCAACUCAGACAACAAGAGCGGUACUCGAAGCACACGGAUAACUACAGGAGUAACUGAAGCUAGAAAAAACGCCCCAUGGACCGAACGGGGUUUGGUGUUCCUGUCCCUGAGCGCGAGGACGGAUCAAUCGUGCACAGGUUGAGCUGAUUGACUGGUGGAUUCGACUAGAGCGCUUCAUUCGCUCCAAGCAUCUGGUAGAGCAGGGCCAUGCGCGCUGAUGGAGUGCUCGAAAAUCGGGCGCAUCACGUGGACGCAGAGCGGAGUGCGUGCCAACACCGUACGCGCAACAAUAUCCUACGCGUCGGGCGGACGCAAAGCUUCGUGCGCGGCAACACCUUACAUCAGAGACAUGCGAGGUCGAAGUAGGAGUUUUGAAUCUAUUUUCAACCUUAUCAACAGCUGUUAAAAUGAGUUAUUGCGUUGAUUGUUUUAAUUAUUUGUUAUAAAAAAACUGAAAU